GUCCAAAAACCUGCGCCAAAACGGAAACGGCGCUGGGGGGGCCGCCCCACAACUUAUGGGGCAGAGCCACUUAGGGGGCAGCCCCACAACUUAUGGGGCUGAGCUACUUAGGGGGCAGCCCCACAACUUAUGGGGCAGAGCCACUUAUGGGGCAGGCUUCACUUAUGGGUCCCACCCCACACUUAUGGGGCAGAGCUACUUAUAGGGUCAGACCCACACUUAUGGGGCUGAGCUACUUAUGGGGCAGCCCCACAAUUUAUGGGGCAGAGCUACUUAUGGGGCAGCCCCACAACUUAUGGGGCAGAGCAGCACUUAUGGGGCAGCCCCACAACUUAUCGGGCAGAGCCACUUAUGGGGCAGCCCCACACUUAUGGGUCUGACCCACACUUAUGGGGCAGCCCCACAACUUAUGGGGCAGAGCUACUUAGGGGGCAGCCCCACAACUUAUGGGGCAGAGCUACUUAGGGGGCGGCCCCACAACUUAUGGGGCAGAGCUACUUAUGGGGCAGCCCCACAACUUAUGGGGCAGAGCCACUUAGGGGGCGGCCCCACAACUUAUGGGGCAGAGCCACUUAUGGGGCAGCCCCACAACUUAUGGGGCUGAGCUACUUAUGGGGCAGCCCCACAACUUAUGGGGCAGACCUACUUAGGGGGCAGCCCCACAACUUAUGGGGCAGAGCAGCACUUAGGGGGCAGGCUUCACUUAUGGGUCCCACCCCGCACUUAAGGGGCAGAGCUACUUAUGGGGCAGCCCCACAACUUAUGGGGCAGAGCUACUUAUGGGGCAGGCUUCACUUAUGGGUCCCACCCCACACUUAUGGGGCAGAGCUACUUAUGGGGCAGCCCCACACUUAUGGGGCAGAGCUACUUAUGGGGCAGCCCCACACUUAUGGGGCAGGCUUCACUUAUGGGUCCCACCCCACACUUAUGGGGCAGCCCCACACUUAGGGGGCAGAGCCACACUUAUGGGGUCAGGCCUCACUUAUGGGGCAGCCCCACACUUAUGGGUCCCACCCCACACUUAUGGGGCACAGCUACACUUAUGGGAUCAGACCCACACUUAUGGGGCAGACUUCACUUAUGGGGUCAGACCCACACUUAUGGGGCAGAGCUACUUAGGGGGCAGCCCCACAACUUAUGGGGCAGAGCAGCACUUAGGGGGCAGGCUUCACUUGUGGGGCAGAGGCACUUAUGGGGCAGCCCCACACAUAUGGGUCUGACCCACACUUAUGGGGCAGCCCCACACUUAGGGGGCAGGCUUCACUUAUGGGUCCCACCCCACACUUAUGGGGCAGAGCUCCUUAUGGGGCAGCCCCACAACUUAUGGGGCAGAGCUACUUAUGGGGCAGCCCCACACUUAUGGGGCAGGCUUCACUUAUGGGUCCCACCCCACACUUAUGGGGCAGAGCUCCUUAUGGGGCAGCCCCACACUUAUGGGGUAGACUUCACUUAUGGGUCCCACCCCACACUUAUGGGGCAGAGCUACUUAGGGGGCAGCCCCACACUUAUGGGUCCCACCCCACACUUGUGGGUCCUACCCUACAUCUAUGGGUCCCACCCCACACUUGUGAGUCCCGCCCCACAUCUAUGGGUCCCAUCCCAACUUAUGGGUCCCACCCCACACUUAUGGGCCAGCCCCACACUUAGGGGGCAGAGCUACUUAUGGGGCAGCCCCACACUUAUGGGUCCCACCCCACACUUGUGAGUCCCGCCCCACACUUAUGCGUCCCGCCCCACAUCUAUGGGUCCCAUCCCACAUCUAUGGGUC
This is a long non-coding RNA of Phasianus colchicus (ring-necked pheasant), 1768 nucleotides long. The record is from Ensembl. NCBI's taxonomy places the organism in Eukaryota, Metazoa, Chordata, Aves, Galliformes, Phasianidae.